CAAAAUAUUAAAAUAAAAAUGUGAAUUGAAUGCCGGUAGCAGGAUUCAAAGGGAAACCAACAAAAAAAAGGAGGCGCAAGUCCAAAUUAAGUUGAUAUUUGUGACUUUUUUUCAGGCUCCUUAUACAUGAUUUUUCUUCAUUAAAAAAAAGUUCUUAUUUUUAAAAGAACUUAAUUUAAUUUGUGUUUGGCCAGACUUCUCCUUAAAACUAGAGAAAAGUCAUAAUAAAGUUGGGCCAAACGGUACCUUAAGCAUUGAUGGAUAAAUUGAGAGUGAAUACGAUGGAGAGAGAGUAAAAGGGAGAAGAUUACACGGCGGAUUCAUCUCUGGUUGCCGCUGAAUAGAUUAAGAAGAUAAGUAACAG
Molecule: long non-coding RNA, 364 nt
Filed under: Trifolium pratense (red clover)
Lineage: Eukaryota; Viridiplantae; Streptophyta; Magnoliopsida; Fabales; Fabaceae
Description: long non-coding RNA (TPRA_LNC007624)
Source: RNAcentral